This 212-nucleotide ribosomal RNA is filed under the name uncultured bacterium. Its description in RNAcentral is "partial 16S ribosomal RNA". It matches the Rfam family "Bacterial small subunit ribosomal RNA", at positions 524 to 737 of the family's 1533-position model. The record is from RNAcentral.
UACGUAGGGCGCAAGCGUUAUCCGGAAUUAUUGGGCGUAAAGAGCUCGUAGGCGGUUUGUCGCGUCUGCCGUGAAAGUCCGGGGCUCAACUCCGGAUCUGCGGUGGGUACGGGCAGACUAGAGUGAUGUAGGGGAGACUGGAAUUCCUGGUGUAGCGGUGAAAUGCGCAGAUAUCAGGAGGAACACCGAUGGCGAAGGCAGGCUCUGGCGUC